Molecule: ribosomal RNA, 468 nt
Filed under: uncultured bacterium
Lineage: Bacteria
Description: partial 16S ribosomal RNA
Rfam family: Bacterial small subunit ribosomal RNA
Source: RNAcentral
GACGAACGCUGGCGGCGUGCUUAACACAUGCAAGUCGAACGGAAAGGCCCUGCUUUUGUGGGGUGCUCGAGUGGCGAACGGGUGAGUAACACGUGAGUAACCUGCCCUUGACUUUGGGAUAACUUCAGGAAACUGGGGCUAAUACCGGAUAGGAGCUCCUGCUGCAUGGUGGGGGAUGGAAAGUUUCGGCGGUUGGGGAUUGACUCGCGGCUUAUCAGCUUGUUGGUGGGGUAGUGGCUUACCAAGGCUUUGACGGGUAGCCGGCCUGAGAGGGUGACCGGCCACGUUGGGACUGAGAUACGGCCCAGACUCCUACAGGAGGCAACAGUGGGGAAUGGUGCACAAUGGACGGAAGCCAGAUGCAGCAACGCCGCGUGCGGGAUGACGGCCUUCGGGUUGUAAGCCGCUUUCGCCUGUGACGAAACGUGAGUGACGGUAAUGGAUAAAGAAGCAACGGCUAACUACGUG